GAAGUAAGAAACCCAAAAAUAAGCUUCUAACUUAAUUUUUAAGCAAUGAAAUUUGUUUUUACUUCU
This 66-nucleotide transfer RNA is filed under the name Mandarella flaviventris. Its description in RNAcentral is "tRNA-Ser". The record is from RNAcentral. Lineage: Eukaryota; Metazoa; Arthropoda; Insecta; Coleoptera; Chrysomelidae.